This 712-nucleotide long non-coding RNA is filed under the name Danio rerio (zebrafish). RNAcentral describes it as "lncRNA (ENSDARG00000101563.2)". The record is from RNAcentral. Lineage: Eukaryota; Metazoa; Chordata; Actinopteri; Cypriniformes; Danionidae.
CCGAAGACGUCCGCCAUCUUGGAUAAACAGAAAACAAAAACAAUACGAGUUUCUCAAGAUGAUACAACAUAUCACAUCCUUUACUCUAAAUGACAACGAUUCUUACUGCAAUGAAGAACUUGGAUAAACUUGUAAAGCCACAGUCUUUACCUCACUACUUCCUCAAUUCACCAGAACACUGUCAGUUUAGCAUCUCGAAUGAAGACGUGACUUUCGUGCACUCUUUUCAGCCUGAAUCCUGUUCACUUCUGCCCAGCCUUACCAGCCGCCUGAGACGCCCAAACAAAAUAUAUAGAAAAAUCAGCCACCAGGCACUGAGGUCAUCGAAGCGACGACAAUGACGACAUCUUCAGGCCUGUCGGGAAACAUUACAGAGAAUUACUUGUGAUGAGCUGAGCCUGACCGACACUGACCUCUGCUGGGCACAUUUGAAUGACUUGGUGAAUCCUGAGGAGUUUGAGAGGAUGCUGUUUCUGUGUGCAGAUGGUGUUAAAUCACAAACUGAGCCACUUGAGGAUGUGGAAGUUCUUCUUGCCGACACGGAUCAGACUGAGUCCGUUUGAGAGGAUUUGCUGACCAACAAUAAGCACUUGCUCUGGGUUUUCGGCCCUCUGGUGGUUUAUCCAGACACCGCCGUCCUUGAUCAUCUGAUAGCUGUGCACAACAGGACAAUAAAUUCAUUAUUUUUGGCGAAAAAGGCACAGAUGGAAUG